This 72-nucleotide transfer RNA is filed under the name bacterium. Its description in RNAcentral is "tRNA-Val". It matches the Rfam family "tRNA". Rfam says of the family: Transfer RNA (tRNA) molecules are approximately 80 nucleotides in length. Their secondary structure includes four short double-helical elements and three loops (D, anti-codon, and T loops). The record is from RNAcentral.
GCGCGGUUAGCUCAGUGGUGGAGCGCUUCGUUGACAUCGAAGAGGACAGAAGUUCGAUCCUUCUACCGCGCA